This 930-nucleotide ribosomal RNA is filed under the name Citrobacter sp. WR22. RNAcentral's name for it is "bacterial SSU rRNA". It matches the Rfam family "Bacterial small subunit ribosomal RNA", at positions 77 to 1024 of the family's 1533-position model. The record is from RNAcentral. Lineage: Bacteria; Pseudomonadati; Pseudomonadota; Gammaproteobacteria; Enterobacterales; Enterobacteriaceae.
UGCUCCUUGGGUGACGAGUGGCGGACGGGUGAGUAAUGUCUGGGAAACUGCCCGAUGGAGGGGGAUAACUACUGGAAACGGUAGCUAAUACCGCAUAACGUCGCAAGACCAAAGAGGGGGACCUUCGGGCCUCUUGCCAUCGGAUGUGCCCAGAUGGGAUUAGCUAGUAGGUGGGGUAACGGCUCACCUAGGCGACGAUCCCUAGCUGGUCUGAGAGGAUGACCAGCCACACUGGAACUGAGACACGGUCCAGACUCCUACGGGAGGUAGCAGUGGGGAAUAUUGCACAAUGGGCGCAAGCCUGAUGCAGCCAUGCCGCGUGUAUGAAGAAGGCCUUCGGGUUGUAAAGUACUUUCAGCGAGGAGGAAGGUGUUGUGGUUAAUAACCGCAGCGAUUGACGUUACUCGCAGAAGAAGCACCGGCUAACUCCGUGCCAGCAGCCGCGGUAAUACGGAGGGUGCAAGCGUUAAUCGGAAUUACUGGGCGUAAAGCGCACGCAGGCGGUCUGUCAAGUCGGAUGUGAAAUCCCCGGGCUCAACCUGGGAACUGCAUCCGAAACUGGCAGGCUAGAGUCUUGUAGAGGGGGGUAGAAUUCCAGGUGUAGCGGUGAAAUGCGUAGAGAUCUGGAGGAAUACCGGUGGCGAAGGCGUCCCCUGGACAAAGACUGACGCUCAGGUGCGAAAGCGUGGGAGCAAACAGGAUUAGAUACCCUGCUAGUCCACGCCGUAAANGAUGUCGACUUGGAGNUGUGUCCUAUGAGACGUGGCUUCUGGAGCUAACGCGUUAAGUCGAUCCGCCUGGGGAGUACGACGCAAGAUAAAACUCAAUGAAUGACCGCGGGCUCGCCCANCGGUGGAGCAUGUGUCGAUGCAACGCGAAAAACUAAGUCCUGCAUGCAUGAACUAACAAAAAUUGCUGUGGCUUACUGAA